This is an RNA transcript of Schistocerca cancellata (South American locust), 1378 nucleotides long. RefSeq lists it as uncharacterized. The transcript has 5 exons. NCBI's taxonomy places the organism in Eukaryota, Metazoa, Arthropoda, Insecta, Orthoptera, Acrididae. The record is from RefSeq and is a predicted model, not a curated record.
UUAUGUUAGAUUGUAUGUCAUACUAACAAAUGUAAAUCGUGGAGAUAAAUGAGCUGAGCGGAUAAUAACUGCAGUAAUGGACCGCAAAAAAACCACAUGGAUAAAAGAGGAAACUAAUGAGAUACCAAGUUCACCAGGCUCCAUUGUUCAGGUAUGCCCCUCCAGUGUGAAAAUAAAGGAAGAAUCGCAGGAGACUGGGAAUCAAGAGGUAUUUCUAGAGCUUUUGUGACUGACUAGAAUUAGUCAAUGAUUUGUUACUUCAAAGUUGUGGUGAAUAUGAUGGAAGAGUAUCUGGAAGACCCAGUUGUAGCUUCAGGGUUCACUGAUUCUAUCAAGGAGGAUCCAGUACUAAGUUUCGGAGCAGAAGAAACUGAGAAUUUUCUCGUGGUCUCACGGUGGCGUUCUUGCUUCCCAAGCAUUGGGUCCUGGGUUCGAUUCCCGGCGGGUUCAAGGAUUUUCACCUGCCCCGAGAUGACUGGGUGUUAUGUCAUCCUUAUCAUCAUCAUUCAUCUCCAUUAUUAUCGGAGGAAGGCAAUGGUAAACCACCUCCAUUAGGACCUUUCCUAGUACGGCAGUGUAGGUCUCCUGCAUUAUUCCCCUACGCUCUGUCAAGAAGCAUGGGACUUCAUUUCCAUUUCCAUGUUUGCAUCAGUGCUGUGGUAUUUUAAUUAUUUAAUGAAGUCAUUGUGCUGUCUUAAUAUUCAGCCACUUGUAUGAUUGUCAAUUAGAUUACACCACAGUAAAACGUUCGAAUGUACAGUGAAUACAUUUUCCAAACAGAGCAAAAGUGCACCUAAAGCAGCAAAACACAAACUUGUUAUGUUGACAAGACAUCAUAAACUGAUGGGAAAAAAGUGAGAACCAAAACAAUAUUACGAGUGAGCUAUGGUCCAAAAUGAUUGAAGAAACUGAGAUGAAAAAGAAAGUAAAUGAUGAGUUUACUCCUGAUCACUCUGAAAUUGUACAAAUGAUACAUUCUACAUCUACCAGUGAACUGAGUUCUUUUUGAGAAGAAAUUAAAAUGGAUUGGCAUAGGCAGAAAUUCAGUUAACAAAUGAGAGUUGACUGAUGAUGUGAUAUUAUAAUGUGUUUUGAAGUCACAGGAGGCCCCAGUGAUGAAGGCAAAAUGCCUACAACUAACAUCUCUUGUGUUGAGGCUAUAGAAGCCUUAGACACUUUAGUGAAAUUCACUAAGAGAAGACAAUAAUACAGUGCUUUUGAAGUUGUGAAUCUGAACAUCAUACAAAAUAAUUGUCAAAAAAGGGCUCAAUUCAAGAAAAAAGUUUGAAUUUGUGCAAUGUUGAGGGUGCUCAGAAGAUAAUUUCAGCUGAACCGUCAGCGGUAGACACCAGUCUGGCAUAUUCCAUGCCCAGUAGAA